Molecule: long non-coding RNA, 1953 nt
Organism: Hypanus sabinus (Atlantic stingray)
Lineage: Eukaryota; Metazoa; Chordata; Chondrichthyes; Myliobatiformes; Dasyatidae
Exons: 2
Source: RefSeq, a predicted model, not a curated record
UUUCCAUAACUUCUUUUCUCGGUAAAGGCGCUGCAUUACCACAACCAUGAUCAACCCACAGAAGCUGUACACAUCUUUUACACAAAUGAUGCUGGGUUCUUUUGAAGACCCUGACCUGGAGUUAUAUGCUGACUUCAGUUCUUUGCGGGAAUGGGACCCACUCUCAGGGUUUCAUAACUGGCCGUUGUUCAGCAUACCAAGGGUUCAGCCUAGGAGUCCAGCUCAGAUUUGGAUGCCUAGGAUCUUGGGGCUCUGGAGACGGGUCGAAUGAGGGUCGGUGUCACGGCAGAAGACCCGUGUGUCAUCAGGGAAGUUGAAAUACCUACAGCUGUGUGCCUGGAGACUCGAGAUCUUUAGGCACAGAACUUGAAAAAAGUAACGUAAGGGACUUUUAACAUCGUAAACCAGCGAGUUGUUUGUUAUGUCUCCCCGCUUGCUGGGAAAACAGAGACACCUCCUUCUCCCUUAUUAGGGAGAGAGAGAGAGAGCCUGUGGUAUGUCAUAUACUGGGUGAAAUGCAAAGUCUUUGAGGCAACUGCAAGUCUGUAUCCUUGCUAUUGCUUUACUCAUGCUUGAGUGCUCAGUGGCGGGUGCCGAUGCUUUUUUUUGCUGGUGGGGGAGGGGGGGGGGAAUUGUUGCUUUCUGCCAUUUAUGCAUGGGAGGGCAGCUGUGGGGGAGGGGACUUCGGAGUUCUAACAUUUAACUGUCAAUUCUUUGGGGCACUCCUCUAUUUUCAUUGAUGGUUGCGAAGAAAAAGCAUUUCAGGAUGUAUAUUGUAUACAUUUCUCUGACAUUAUAUUGCACCUUUGAACCUUUGAACAGAUCACAAUUUCAUGAUGAAUUGCUCCAUCAGUGGGAUUCACCCUCAAAAUUCCAAUCAUGAAUCACGCUUUUGAAGAUGAUGAGUCAAAUUCUCCAGUAGAUCCCCUCUAAUUCUUCAUCUGCAUUCCUUCCAGACCUCCCAUAAAUCUCAUGGAGUACAUAAGGACGCCCCUAUCUUGUAGCAUGUUUUAGCACUUAAAAUAUUGAACUCAAAUAUACUUCAGAAAAAUUUUAGCUCCACCCAAACAGUAAUGGUAUCCCAAUGGUAUCUUGCUUUGUGUGGGCACGAUGUGUGCUCCUGUGCUGGAAGCCUGUUGGAAACCCCUGCCCUAGAAGCCUGUUUUACGUAACUAUUACAAAUGUCUUCCAGAAAUUUACAAAUAUAGACAUAAUCUACAGCCUUCACCAUCUUCUAGUCACUGUCAGCUCUUUAAAGUAGUAUAAUGUUUAUAAAGCUCACUUUCCUUCCUCAAAUAUGUUGCUGACAGUCUUGAGAAAAGGGAGGUUACAAUGAAAAUAAGGAGAGGGCAAAUGGAACUGAUGUCAUUACCCUUCUGGGAUCUGGCAUGGACCCAAUAAAAGAAAAAAAAGUUGACCCUUUAAAUCCAUUUGUUGAUUUUCUCAUUACCUAUACUCCAUAAUAUAAUCUGAAUGAGUAUAACCUAUGGCAAUGACACAACUGCCCUCUUAUUUCUAUGUCAAGUGUCUGUAGACAAAACGCAAAUAUUUGAAAUAGGAGUCAGAACAAUUUGAUGAUAAUCAUUCCUAAGUUCAGAUCACAUAUGUUCACAGAGAGAAUAGUAACAAAAUUGCUGUAGUUCUCAACUGCUUUGAAGUUUAUUAGAUUAUUUUAUCUCAUUCCCCAAAAAAUAUGAAAAUACCAAAAUAGUUACCAGCUUUGUGGAAUUAUUCCUGUUUUUCUCCAUUUAAUUUCAAUUAUUUAACAAAAAUACUAAAGUUGUCUCUAAAUUAAUUUAGCUGAAUGCAGUCUGCGGUGUUGCAUGCUUGUCUUCAAAUCUGACAUUCUUUAUUUUGUAUUUUAGUUGCCCUAGUGUUCUUUUGGACUUCUUCCACAAUCAUAAUUUCCUUUUAAUAACCUCACCAGUGAAAUAAAAAGCAAUUUAUUCAGAA